Neocloeon triangulifer is the source of this 497-nucleotide long non-coding RNA. RefSeq lists it as uncharacterized. NCBI's taxonomy places the organism in Eukaryota, Metazoa, Arthropoda, Insecta, Ephemeroptera, Baetidae. The transcript has 3 exons. The record is from RefSeq and is a predicted model, not a curated record.
UUUCAUAAUUCUUUUGAUCGCAGUGCCGGAGUUUUGCUUUACCAUGUGCAAGUCCCAAACAGUUCUUUCAAUGUUGAUUACCUUUCUGGCAUUCAACAAAAUAAGCGCUCAGGAUAAAAAGGAAUUCAAUUACUACAUUAUGACAUACGUUAACUGGGAAACUGCUAAACAAAUUUGCAGCAUCCAAGGUGGAUUGCUAGCUGAUUUAGAAACUGUGGAAGAAUUAAAUUUGGCUUGGAGUGGAGCACCUAUUUUAUGGUAUUAUUGGACAUCUGGAAGCGACGGAGAGCCUGGAAAUUUUACUUGGGCAAAUGGACAGUUGGUGAAUUCUACACUUUGGGCUGAUGGUGAACCUAACAGUUUUGGCACAGGUGUAAAAGCAUGUGUUUACAUGUACAACGGGCAACUCUAUGAUGCGCCUUGCACAUUUGGUUAUAACGUAGUUUGUCAGAUGAUUUUGUAAUAAUUUAAAUUAAUAAAUCCCACACUUUGCCUUA